Molecule: ribosomal RNA, 495 nt
Filed under: uncultured bacterium
Lineage: Bacteria
Description: partial 16S ribosomal RNA
Rfam family: Bacterial small subunit ribosomal RNA
Source: RNAcentral
GACGAACGCUGGCGGCGUGCCUAAUACAUGCAAGUAGAACGCUGAAGGAGGAGCUUGCUUCUCUGGAUGAGUUGCGAACGGGUGAGUAACGCGUAGGUAACCUGCCUGGUAGCGGGGGAUAACUAUUGGAAACGAUAGCUAAUACCGCAUAAGAGUAGAUGUCGCAUGACAUUUGCUUAAAAGGUGCAAUUGCAUCACUACCAGAUGGACCUGCAUUGUAUUAGCUAGUUGGUGAGGUAACGGCUCACCAAGGCAACGAUACAUAGCCGACCUGAGAGGGUGAUCGGCCACACUGGGACUGAGACACGGCCCAGACUCCUACGGGAGGCAGCAGUAGGGAAUCUUCGGCAAUGGACGGAAGUCUGACCGAGCAACGCCGCGUGAGUGAAGAAGGUUUUCGGAUCGUAAAGCUCUGUUGUAAGAGAAGAACGAGUGUGAGAGUGGAAAGUUCACACUGUGACGGUAUCUUACCAGAAAGGGACGGCUAACUACGUG